AGCGAACGCUGGCGGCAGGCCUAACACAUGCAAGUCGAACGAACUCUUCGGAGUUAGUGGCGGACGGGUGAGUAACACGUGGGAACGUGCCUUUAGGUUCGGAAUAACUCAGGGAAACUUGUGCUAAUACCGAAUGUGCCCUUCGGGGGAAAGAUUUAUCGCCUUUAGAGCGGCCCGCGUCUGAUUAGCUAGUUGGUGAGGUAAAGGCUCACCAAGGCGACGAUCAGUAGCUGGUCUGAGAGGAUGAUCAGCCACAUUGGGACUGAGACACGGCCCAAACUCCUACGGGAGGCAGCAGUGGGGAAUCUUGCGCAAUGGGCGAAAGCCUGACGCAGCCAUGCCGCGUGAAUGAUGAAGGUCUUAGGAUUGUAAAAUUCUUUAACCGGGGACGAUAAUGACGGUACCCGGAGAAGAAGCCCCGGCUAACCUCGUG
Molecule: ribosomal RNA, 433 nt
Filed under: uncultured bacterium
Lineage: Bacteria
Description: partial 16S ribosomal RNA
Rfam family: Bacterial small subunit ribosomal RNA
Source: RNAcentral